Molecule: ribosomal RNA, 400 nt
Filed under: phytoplankton environmental sample
Lineage: Eukaryota
Description: partial small subunit ribosomal RNA
Rfam family: Eukaryotic small subunit ribosomal RNA
Source: RNAcentral
AGCUCCAAUAGCGUAUAUUAAAGUUGUUGCAGUUAAAAAGCUCGUAGUUGGAUCUCAGGUCCCGGCUCGCGGUUCACUUCGCGGUGAUUACUGCCCGUCCGGACCUACCCGCCGGUUCUCCCUUGGUGCUCUUCGCUGAGUGUCUCGGGUGCCCGGAACGUUUACUUUGAAAAAAUUAGAGUGUUCAAGGCAGGCGCUUCGCCUGAAUAAUGGUGCAUGGAAUAAUGGAAUAGGACCUCGGUUCUAUUUUGUUGGUUUUCGGAGCUCGAGGUAAUGAUUAAGAGGGACAGACGGGGGCAUUCGUAUUACGGUGUUAGAGGUGAAAUUCUUGGAUCGCCGUAAGACGAACUACAGCGAAAGCAUUUGCCAAGAAUGUUUUCAUUAAUCAAGAACGAAAGUA